This 460-nucleotide ribosomal RNA is filed under the name uncultured bacterium. RNAcentral describes it as "partial 16S ribosomal RNA". It matches the Rfam family "Bacterial small subunit ribosomal RNA", at positions 338 to 795 of the family's 1533-position model. The record is from RNAcentral.
CCUACGGGGGGCAGCAGUGAGGAAUAUUGGUCAAUGGACGAGAGUCUGAACCAGCCAAGUAGCGUGAAGGAUGACUGCCCUAUGGGUUGUAAACUUCUUUUAUAAAGGAAUAAAACGAGGCACGUGUGCCUUUUUGCAUGUACUUUAUGAAUAAGGAUCGGCUAACUCCGUGCCAGCAGCCGCGGUAAUACGGAGGAUCCGAGCGUUAUCCGGAUUUAUUGGGUUUAAAGGGAGCGUAGAUGGGUUGUUAAGUCAGUUGUGAAAGUUUGCGGCUCAAACGUAAAAUUGCAAUUGAUACUGGCAGUCGUGAGUACAGUUGAGGUAGGCGGAAUUCGUGGUGUAGCGGUGAAAUGCUUAGAUAUCACGAAGAACCCCGAUUGCGAAGGCAGCUUACUAAACUGUGACUGACAUUGAUGCUCGAAAGUGUGGGUAUCAAACAGGAUUAGAUACCCCUGUAGUC